This 429-nucleotide ribosomal RNA is filed under the name Actinomycetes bacterium. RNAcentral's name for it is "Actinobacteria bacterium partial 16S ribosomal RNA". It matches the Rfam family "Bacterial small subunit ribosomal RNA", at positions 355 to 776 of the family's 1533-position model. Lineage: Bacteria; Bacillati; Actinomycetota; Actinomycetes. The record is from RNAcentral.
UAGGGAAUCUUCCGCAAUGGGCGAAAGCCUGACGGAGCAACGCCGCGUGAGUGAUGAAGGUCUUCGGAUCGUAAAACUCUGUUAUUAGGGAAGAACAAAUGUGUAAGUAACUAUGCACGUCUUGACGGUACCUAAUCAGAAAGCCACGGCUAACUACGUGCCAGCAGCCGCGGUAAUACGUAGGUGGCAAGCGUUAUCCGGAAUUGUUGGGCGUAAAGCGCGCGUAGGCGGUUUUUUAAGUCGGAUGUGAAAGCCCACGGCUCAACCGUGGAGGGUCAUUGGAAACUGGAAAACUUGAGUGCAGAAGAGGAAAGUGGAAUUCCAUGUGUAGCGGUGAAAUGCGCAGAGAUAUGGAGGAACACCAGUGGCGAAGGCGACUUUCUGGUCUGUAACUGACGCUGAUGUGCGAAAGCGUGGGGAUCAAACAGG